RNAcentral lists this long non-coding RNA (238 nucleotides) under Capsicum annuum. Its description in RNAcentral is "long non-coding RNA (CANN_LNC021298)". Lineage: Eukaryota; Viridiplantae; Streptophyta; Magnoliopsida; Solanales; Solanaceae. The record is from RNAcentral.
GAACCAAGUCUUAAUAUGUCUGAAGGGAUAUUCUGGUAUUGGAUAAUAUUCACCACUCUAUUCAUAUUCAGUAGUCACCACUACUAACCACCUUUGCCACUGUCACCAUUGUCAACCACCACCAACCACCUCCACCAUCACAACCACCAUCGAUAAAAAAUACCGCUACCAACCACAAUUGUCAACUGCUACCACACCUACUACCUCUUUUAUUUUAAUUAUAUUCACCACCACCACU